ACAGAUUUGGUUCAGCCCACAGAUUUCAUCUCUCUGUUAAGAAAGAAUCCCACCAAUUCCCCAAUGCUAUACCCUCAAGGUUGUCAAACUCUUUCUCUCACCCUCCAUCUCGUCCUUGUCCUUCACAAUCGCAACCACCACCACCACCACCACCACCUAUGAGGGAGUGGCCGAGUGAGAGAUUUGCCGGCGGGUGACAGAGAGUUCCGACCGAUAUAGAGAGUUCCGGUGGUGUUUCGCGGUAACACGGCGGUGUUUGACGACGGCGGUGACAGAGCUUCUUUCUCCUUCUUUCCUCUGGUUCGAUAUUUCUUUCUAUACAUUUAUUUGCUUUUUUUUUUUCUGUUGUUUUUUUUUUUGUUGGUUAGGAUGAUUGAAGAUUUGAGGUGGUGGUGAAAUGUGGUGGUUAUGGUGGAUGGCUCUAUGAAAGAGGCAGCUCAGUUUCAAUUUUUGGGUUCUCAAUUUUAGAGAAUACCACAAGCUGUUAGGAAUUUGGGUUUGUCAAUAUGAAGCCAACUUUGGGUCAAGCUCAAAGUAAUUGGGAAGCUGAUAAAAUGCUUGAUGUUUAUAUUCAUGAUUAUUUUCUGAAAAGAAAGUUGAACGCCAGUAGGUAAGAAACUAAGAAACAAAAGUUUCGACGGAUCCAGUAGCAAUUGAUGCACCUGGAGGAUUUCUUUUCGAGUGGUGGUCUGUCUUUUGGGAUAUAUUCAUCUCGAGAACAAAUGAGAAACAUUCUGAGGCUGCUGCCGCUUACAUUGAGACCCAGCAAACGAAGGCAAAAGAACAACUUCAAAUGCAGCAAAUGCAACUAAUGCAACAACGCAAUGUCCAGUUACAGAGAAGAGAUCCUAAUCAUCCUGCACUGAGUGGACUGGGUGGUUCCUUAAAUGCCAUUAACUCUGAAGGUAUGUUGGGGCAGCCACCAGCAAGUGUGUUGGCUAUGAAAAUGUAUGAAGAGCGAAUGAAACACCCUCAUUCAAUGGAUUCAGAAGCAUCUCCAAAUCUUAUCGAUGCGAAUAGGAUGGCUCUUCUCAAAUCAGCAACAAGUCAUUAAGGUCAGCUGGUUCAUGGUAAUUCAGGGAAUAUGUCCAAUGCAUUGCAGUAACUGCAAGCACGGUCUACUUUAACCAAUGACAUCAAAGGAGAUGUUAACAUUGGCGCUGGUCCAAAGAAUUUGCCUUUGGAUACAUCAGUUUAUCGACAAGCAAUUUUACAAUCAAAAUCUGGGUUAGGAAGUGCAGGCAAGAGGCAGGCUGAGGAAGAAGUACAGGCAGUGAGUGCAAAAAAGCAAAAGCUAGAAGAGGUUCAUCAAAAGAAGGAAGCUGAGUUGAAGAAAUUUAAGAAUGAUGAAAGUAGUUAUGAGGAAGAGGGAAUUUUAGAUUGUAGGAUAUGAUAGAAGACUAUCAAUUUGGUUUGGGGCCUUAGAUCUAUAUGCGACAUGAUUGCCUAAAGAGGGACUUGGAGCUUGAAGUUAUCAACCAAAUUAAUGGAAAAAAGGAGCUGUGAUUAUUUUUGAAUUAUUGUUUAGAGGAAGAGAGAAAUAAUGUACUCUUGCAUCCUUAUUGUGCAUUGAAACUUUUUUUUUCCCUUCAUAUUGUAAUGAUAAUGAUAAUUUAUGUGGUUGUUUUUGUAAAUUGAAUUUGGAUAUAAUGAGAUUGACCUAGAAAAGUCUCCUAUAUUGAAGAAUACAGGAAGGAUGAAUUCUAUUUUGG
Molecule: long non-coding RNA, 1712 nt
Organism: Trifolium pratense (red clover)
Lineage: Eukaryota; Viridiplantae; Streptophyta; Magnoliopsida; Fabales; Fabaceae
Exons: 10
Source: RefSeq, a predicted model, not a curated record